RNAcentral lists this ribosomal RNA (812 nucleotides) under uncultured bacterium. RNAcentral's name for it is "bacterial SSU rRNA". It matches the Rfam family "Bacterial small subunit ribosomal RNA", at positions 8 to 796 of the family's 1533-position model. The record is from RNAcentral.
AGAGUUUGAUCCUGGCUCAGAACGAACGCUGGCGGCGUGCCUAAUACAUGCAAGUCGAACGAGAAAGUGGGGCAACCCAUUAGUAAAGUGGCAGACGGGUGAGUAAUACAUAGGUAAUCUACCUCCAAGAUGGGGAUAACCUUCCGAAAGGAGGGCUAAUACCGAAUGAGACCACGGCUACUGCGGCAGCUGAGGUUAAAGCUGGCCUCUACUUGUAAGCUAGCACUUGGAGAUGAGCUUAUGCACCAUUAGCCUGUUGGUAGGGUAACGGCCUACCAAAGCUAUGAUGGUUAGCUGAUCUGAGAGGUUGAUCAGCCACACUGGAACUGAGACACGGUCCAGACUCCUACGGGAGGCAGCAGUAGGGAAUAUUGCGCAAUGGAGGAAACUCUGACGCAGCGACGCCGCGUGGGUGAUGAAGGUCUUCGGAUCGUAAAGCCCUGUCGGAAGGGACGAAAAAUAGCGUGGCUAACAUCCAUGCUACUUGACGGUACCUUCAAAGGAAGCACCGGCUAACUACGUGCCAGCAGCCGCGGUAAUACGUAGGGUGCUAGCGUUGUUCGGAAUCAUUGGGCGUAAAGCGCGUGCAGGCUGUUAAUUAAGUCGGGUGUGAAAUCCCUGGGCUCAACCGAGGAAGUGCAUCCGAAACUAAUUAGCUAGAGAGUGGUAGAGGAAGGUGGAAUUCCUAGUGUAGAGGUGAAAUUCGUAGAUAUUAGGAGGAAUACCGGUGGCGAAGGCGGCCUUCUGGACCAUUUCUGACGCUGAGACGCGAAAGCGUGGGGAGCAAACAGGAUUAGAUACCCUAGUAGUCC